Engraulis encrasicolus (European anchovy) is the source of this 653-nucleotide long non-coding RNA. RefSeq lists it as uncharacterized. The record is from RefSeq and is a predicted model, not a curated record. Lineage: Eukaryota; Metazoa; Chordata; Actinopteri; Clupeiformes; Engraulidae. The transcript has 5 exons.
UGUGGCAUUUAUUCUGUGCACAUGAACACGUUUUCAGAAUUGCUCUGUGUAACUCAGACGGUUACUCUUGUGUGUUUUGCUACUAGUUGUGCGAACGAGCCAGACAAACCAGCUGGGAGGACGGAAGCACCCCUUCUCCAUCCGCGUUCAGUAACUGAAUACGGAUUCACCCCGUAGUUGUGGUGUUUUCCAUAGCUGUUCCUUGCUCCUGUAUCACAACAUAUCAAGGCUGCCAAGUAAAUGAAGAAUGAAUCACCGCACACUGGUCAACAGCAGACAGGGUCCUUCCACAACCACAUACUUAUGCCAGUAAAAGCUACAGCUUUUCUCCUCCGAUCCAAGAAGCCUGGACUGCAGUCACCAUCUCAACACACCAACCAAGAGAAAGGUGGAUGGCUCAAUUCAAUAUGGAAAAUUGCACAAUAAAAGUUCCAGGACAUGAAGGCUGCAUACUGUGAACGUCAACCUUCAGGGCACCGUCCUGCGCAGAAGACUUUCUACCCUAAGAGGGAUGGCUGACCGCAGACACUCACAACCAGCACAGACGCCUCCAACCUCAGACUAGGCCCUUCACAGUUGCUGCACUUACCCACCUUCCCAGAGUUUUUGUGUGGUAAUGACAACUGUAAAUAUAGUAUAAAGUAAUGUAUCUA